GUGUGUGUGUGUGUGUGUGUGUGUGUGUGUGUGUGUGUGUGUGAGGUCAAAUAGGUGAAAGGGUCCACGUGGAGGAGAUUUAUGAUGGUCUGUGGUUUAAGUGUGCAGCCAAUGCAAUGUGUGUGUGUGUAGAUUGCUGUUGGUAAAAUGAAGCAGGAGGUGAGUUUUUUCAUUUUUUAUAUUCCACACACACACACACACACGCACACACACACACUCACAGUACCCAUUCCCUGCAUACCUAGUGUUCUGUCUGAGGCUGGCUUCCAGGAAAUGAGGCACUUUAAUUGAGUUGAGUUUUUACGGCUUGACUGGUGAGAGCGAAUUAGUGGGUUUAUGAACGAGAGAGA
Molecule: long non-coding RNA, 350 nt
Organism: Etheostoma spectabile (orangethroat darter)
Lineage: Eukaryota; Metazoa; Chordata; Actinopteri; Perciformes; Percidae
Exons: 3
Source: RefSeq, a predicted model, not a curated record